AAAGAUGAACUAGGACGGGGUGUUGAAUCCUGGUUCUCGAGGGCCGCUAUCUUGCAUGUUUUGAUGUUUCCCUCUUCCAACACACCUGAAGGUCAUUAUCAGGCUUCUGCAGAGCUUGAUGAUAGGCUUAUCAUUUGAAUCAGGUGUGUUGGAAGAGGGAUACAUCUAAAACAUGCAGGACAGCGGCCCUCCAGGACUAGAUCUGGACACUCCU
Sphaeramia orbicularis (orbiculate cardinalfish) is the source of this 214-nucleotide long non-coding RNA. RefSeq lists it as uncharacterized. The record is from RefSeq and is a predicted model, not a curated record. NCBI's taxonomy places the organism in Eukaryota, Metazoa, Chordata, Actinopteri, Kurtiformes, Apogonidae. The transcript has 3 exons.